Molecule: ribosomal RNA, 253 nt
Filed under: uncultured bacterium
Lineage: Bacteria
Description: partial 16S ribosomal RNA
Rfam family: Bacterial small subunit ribosomal RNA
Source: RNAcentral
UACAGAGGUCUCGAGCGUUAAUCGGAAUCACUGGGCUUAAAGGGUGCGUAGGCGGCCCCGAAAGCGUCGUGUGAAAGCCCCCGGCUCAACCGGGGAAAUGCACGGCGAACUGCGGGGCUUGAGAAAACUAGGGGCUGACAGAACAGUAGGUGGAGCGGUGAAAUGCGUAGAUAUCUACUGGAAUGCCGAUGGUGAAGACGGUCAGCUGGGGUUUUUCUGACGCUGAGGCACGAAAGCGUGGGGAGCAAACAGG